CUUCCUCUGGUUGCUUUUAUUGGAGCUAAAGUGCCCUCACCCUUGCUGCCCAUCAGGCACCGAGCAUCAAGGCUAUGGGAGGGGAGGAGAAGGGCUUUUGAAAAGAGCCCAUGUAUUUUCAUAUAAUACCUGACCUACCACUCAGUUUAUUAUAAAAAUAAAGUUAAAGUUUGAGAUAUUUAUUGCACCAUCCAUGCAUAUGCUUAAUUAGAACAGAUUAUCCAUGGCAAAUCUAAGCCAUUCAUAUUGAAUUAGAUGACCAAAAAUAGAAUAGUAGUGAACGGACAAUGAUGCC
This 295-nucleotide long non-coding RNA is filed under the name Elaeis guineensis (African oil palm). Its description in RNAcentral is "long non-coding RNA (EGUI_LNC006362)". Lineage: Eukaryota; Viridiplantae; Streptophyta; Magnoliopsida; Arecales; Arecaceae. The record is from RNAcentral.